AUCUCCCAUGCAUCUUGCCACCAUGCAUGCACGACCAUAUAUAUGUAGCAAGGGCAAGCUCAUCUAUCGGGAUGCCACAGAGGUGGUUCCACCAAGAUCAAUCAGUGGAGUACAUGGGGCGACUAGGGUGUGGUGGAUUAUAGGUACUAUACGGUUUUUUUGUUGAAAAUAUCACUCCAACAUAUCCUCCCUUGAUUAUUGCCUAAGAAUCGGAGUUCCCUUUCCCAUGAAAGUCGUUCAGAAUAAGUCUAAUGGUUAAUCUGUUCUCAGAAAAAAGUAGUUUGUUUUCUGUCACUAGCAAAUAAAUUGUAUCACUGCGGAGUCUUAAUAUUUGUUUUCAGUUU
RNAcentral lists this long non-coding RNA (344 nucleotides) under Oryza brachyantha (malo sina). Its description in RNAcentral is "long non-coding RNA (OBRA_LNC002826)". The record is from RNAcentral. Lineage: Eukaryota; Viridiplantae; Streptophyta; Magnoliopsida; Poales; Poaceae.